UACGUAGGGGGCAAGCGUUAUCCGGAAUUAUUGGGCGUAAAGAGCGCGCAGGUGGUUAAUUAAGUCUGAUGUGAAAGCCCACGGCUUAACCGUGGAGGGUCAUUGGAAACUGGUUGACUUGAGUGCAGAAGAGGGAAGUGGAAUUCCAUGUGUAGCGGUGAAAUGCGUAGAGAUAUGGAGGAACACCAGUGGCGAAGGCGGCUCUCUGGUCUGCAACUGACGCUGAGGCUCGAAAGCAUGGGUAGCGAACAGG
RNAcentral lists this ribosomal RNA (253 nucleotides) under uncultured Bacilli bacterium. RNAcentral's name for it is "partial 16S ribosomal RNA". It matches the Rfam family "Bacterial small subunit ribosomal RNA", at positions 524 to 776 of the family's 1533-position model. Lineage: Bacteria; Bacillati; Bacillota; Bacilli. The record is from RNAcentral.